This 84-nucleotide transfer RNA is filed under the name Frankia umida. RNAcentral describes it as "tRNA-Phe". It matches the Rfam family "tRNA". From Rfam's summary of the family: Transfer RNA (tRNA) molecules are approximately 80 nucleotides in length. RNAcentral also lists the same sequence under 1 other name. Lineage: Bacteria; Bacillati; Actinomycetota; Actinomycetes; Frankiales; Frankiaceae. The record is from RNAcentral.
GGAGAGGUGCCCGGAGCGGCUCAUCGGGGACCGGGAAAACCGGUCUGGCUCACGCCAACGCAGGUUCGAAUCCUGCCCUCUCCG